GACGAACGCUGGCGGCGUGCUUAACACAUGCAAGUCGAACGGAAAGGCCCUGCUUGCAGGGUACUCGAGUGGCGAACGGGUGAGUAACACGUGGGUGAUCUGCCCUGCACUUCGGGAUAAGCCUGGGAAACUGGGUCUAAUACCGGAUAGGAGCCAUUUUUAGUGUGAUGGUUGGAAAGUUUUUUCGGUGUAGGAUGAGCUCGCGGCCUAUCAGCUUGUUGGUGGGGUAAUGGCCUACCAAGGCGGCGACGGGUAGCCGGCCUGAGAGGGUGGACGGCCACAUUGGGACUGAGAGACGGCCCAGACUCCUAAGGGAGGCAGAAGUGGGGAAUAUUGCACAAGGGGCGCAAGCCUGAUGCAGCGACGCCGCGUGGGGGAUGACGGCCUUCGGGUUGUAAACUCCUUUCGCUAGGGACGAAGCUUUUUGUGACGGUACCUAGAUAAGAAGCACCGGCUAACUACGUG
RNAcentral lists this ribosomal RNA (465 nucleotides) under uncultured bacterium. Its description in RNAcentral is "partial 16S ribosomal RNA". It matches the Rfam family "Bacterial small subunit ribosomal RNA", at positions 28 to 507 of the family's 1533-position model. The record is from RNAcentral.